RNAcentral lists this long non-coding RNA (561 nucleotides) under Vombatus ursinus (common wombat). RNAcentral describes it as "lncRNA (ENSVURG00010014627.1)". The record is from RNAcentral. Lineage: Eukaryota; Metazoa; Chordata; Mammalia; Diprotodontia; Vombatidae.
CCAUGUCCGUGUGAAGGAUGACUCUUGGGCAAGCACAAAUAUACUUGGUGUUUCAGGGGUCGGUGACAUUCAAGUACGUGGCCGUGGACUUGUCCUGGGAGGAGUGGGGGCAGUUGGGCCCUGCCCAGAAGGAGCUGUACCGGGAGGUGAUGCUGGAGAUCUACAAGCACCUGGAAUUUGGGCCUGGUUGUUUCCAAGCCAGAUGUAAUCUUGCAGCUGGAGCAAGGGGAAGCACUGUGGAUGCCAGGGGGCGAGGUGCCGAGGAGAAACUGCCCAGUCUAAAAGAAAAGGGCUGCUUUUCCCUGUUUUGGGGUUGCCUCGAAUCUUUGAAAGUGACCAAAGAAGUUAUUGAAUUCAACCAGUGACCGAGCAGGAGCCCUCAGGACAGUGGCCGUAGGCUGUGGUGAUCCAGUCCCGCCCCUUGAAGGUCUCUGUUGAUGGGGAGCAGGCCACCUGCCAAGGUCACCCACAAGCCAGGACAAAGCGUAGAGCAUGGAUGCGUAAGGCAUUUAAAGUUGACCUUUCACGGGGAGAGAGGGGCCUGAAACUAAGGAGUCAGCA